AGUAGAAUGGCUGAGUUUAAGCGAUAAAUUGUAAAUUUAUUUACGGAAGUUGUUUCCUUCUGCUA
Molecule: transfer RNA, 65 nt
Filed under: Elateroidea sp. 7 KM-2017
Lineage: Eukaryota; Metazoa; Arthropoda; Insecta; Coleoptera
Description: tRNA-Tyr
Rfam family: tRNA
About the family: Transfer RNA (tRNA) molecules are approximately 80 nucleotides in length. Their secondary structure includes four short double-helical elements and three loops (D, anti-codon, and T loops). Further hydrogen bonds mediate the characteristic L-shaped molecular structure. tRNAs have two regions of fundamental functional importance: the anti-codon, which is responsible for specific mRNA codon recognition, and the 3' end, to which the tRNAs corresponding amino acid is attached (by aminoacyl-tRNA synthetases). tRNAs cope with the degeneracy of the genetic code in two manners: having more than one tRNA (with a specific anti-codon) for a particular amino acid; and 'wobble' base-pairing, i.e. permitting non-standard base-pairing at the 3rd anti-codon position.
Source: RNAcentral